GUUAUUUGACUGGAGUGAGGUCUCAUGUCUGCUUAUGCGGUGGCUCGCUGCUCAGAACAGGGAGGAAGAGGGUAAUCUGGAAGAGUUUCCUGACCUACUCUGCUGCUGUGAUUAAACAACCACCAGGAAAUUUUGAUGACACUGUUCUCCUGAGCUCCUCCCUUUCCUCGGGGAAGAAAAGCAUUGAAACUACAAAAAUAAAGUGUUAUUUGGCUGGAGUGAGGUCUCAUGUCUGCUUAUGCGGUGGCUCGCUGCUCAGAACAGGAUGGAGUCUUGCUCUGCCGCCCAGACUGGAGUGCAAUGGCGCAAUCUCGGCUCACUGCAACAUUUGCCUCCCAGGAACCAUUGGAGAUACUCAUUACUCUUUGAAGGCUUACAGUGGAAUGAAUUCAAAUACGACUUAUUUGAGGAAUUGAAGUUGACUUUAUGGAGCUGAUAAGAAUCUUCUUGGAGAAAAAAAGACUGGAUCUUUCAUUGUAGUACUUCUGAAUUAACCAAAAUCACAGUAUUCUGAAGAUGAUUCUACAAAGCCUGCUGUUUCUACAAAGGCUGCUGAUGAUUUCUACAAAGCCUGCUGUAGUGUUGCUGUGGCCUCUGCUUAAAAAAGUAGAAAACACAUUGAUGCAGCAUGUUCACCCCAACCUCCCUGCCUAAAGGCUCAGGGACCAUCUUGGAAGAGGAAGGCGCGUGAGAUUGUAAGAGCCGAAUUAGGGGGAUGGAGUGUGGAGAAUAAGGACACUUCAUCUUGGAUGCUCACCUGCCAAAUUGACUUCUGAUGAAAGCCAGCUCCAGAAAUGUGCCUACAGUUACUACUUUCACCUAAACCCUGCCCUUAGUCAAAUCCUUCUCUUCUUCUAAGCAAUCAACUUCAAUUCCUUGUAUAACCCACAGUAUAAAAGGGCUUUUAUACCAUUCUAUCCUAUUGCAUGUAAGCCUUGGGUCUGGGAGGUAACAGUGUGGGAUUCCACCAUCUCAUCUCCCUGCCACCCAAACAUGCCUGCUCUUCUUUAAGCAAUAUUAAAUGUUUGUACUUCAGAAA
RNAcentral lists this long non-coding RNA (1039 nucleotides) under Homo sapiens (human). RNAcentral describes it as "prostate cancer associated transcript 19". The record is from RNAcentral. Lineage: Eukaryota; Metazoa; Chordata; Mammalia; Primates; Hominidae.